AGAGGGAGGUGUGACACAGAAGCACAGGAGAAGAACCAUCAGAGACACAAGCAGUGACUAGGCUUACAUUGUCACAAGCAAAGGAACACCUGGGACCCGAAGAGCAGAAGUUUCUCCCCGGACCCUCUGAAUGGGCAGAAGGACUGCAGACCACUUACUUUUGAACGUCUUGCUUGCAGAACCGUUACCUCCCUCCCCCAGCUUCCACCUGCCUUUAGCAAGGGACACCUUCCAUGAUAAACCAGGCAGGCCUGGCAUUUUCCACAAUCCCCACCUGAGUCUUCUGAUAGACCUGAGGAGAGGCAAAGUUCCUCAUAGACGGAUGCCGGGAACACACAAUGCAUGGGGAUGCCAUGGAGGACGGCAGAGAGGACUGAGGCCUUCAGCUCCCCUGAAGCAACAUUUACUUGACAUUGUAAACCGAGGGAUGCACACUGGGGAUGGGACUCUGACCCUCUGUGAGAACAGCCCAGGAACUGUGUGUUGCAUUGCGGAAACCCUCUGAAGGGUCAGCACUGUCGAAACAAAACAAAGUCAAAAUGAAGACCCCAGGCACCCAGUUUAAUGCAAGCUGGAGUUCAGAUGUUGUCUCAGAUAUGAUUCUUAUUCAGCCAGUCAGUAUGUGUUUCCUGAAAUCUCACUGGUGUCACAGAGAGACAGCAGAGUGAUAUGCGUUGGCGGCCGGAUGACUUGAAAUGGCACUGCAAACACAAGAUGAUUUUACUUACGAAAUAUGGAGUUUUCAUAAAAUAGUUUGGGAUGAAGGAGACGGAGAAAAAGAACAAUGGGAAACCCCAGAAGACAAAACCUUUAAAAGUUCUUACGUGCUUGGUAUGCCUCUCCCUACUAAAUGUAAAAGAAAUCCCCCCAAAUAAAUAGUUUAAGAAAGUUUUGUAAACAGCAACUUAAUAAAAUUUACCCUAAUAAA
This 928-nucleotide long non-coding RNA is filed under the name Mus musculus (house mouse). RNAcentral's name for it is "RIKEN cDNA 1700061E17 gene". Lineage: Eukaryota; Metazoa; Chordata; Mammalia; Rodentia; Muridae. The record is from RNAcentral.